ACGGUCCUAAGGUAGCGAAAUUCCUUGUCGGGUAAGUUCCGACCUGCACGAAUGGCGUAACGACGGGGGCGCUGUCUCCACCAUAGACUCAGUGAAAUCGAAAUCGCGGUGAAGAUGCCGUGUUCCCGCGGCUAGACGGAAAGACCCCGUGAACCUUUACUAUAGCUUGGCACUGAACUUUGAAUCUAUCUGUGUAGGAUAGGUGGGAGGCUUUGAAGCGUUAUCGCUAGAUAGCGUGGAGCCACCCUUGAAAUACCACCCUGGUAUAUUUGAGGUUCUAACUCUGACCCAUUAUCUGGGUCGAGGACAGUGUCUGGUGGGUAGUUUGACUGGGGCGGUCUCCUCCCAAAGAGUAACGGAGGAGCGCGAAGGUACACUCAGCAUGGUCGGAAAUCAUGCUAUGAGCGCAAAGGUAGAAGUGUGCUUGACUGCGAGACUGACACGUCGAGCAGGUACGAAAGUAGGUCUUAGUGAUCCGGUGGUUCUGUAUGGAAGGGCCAUCGCUCAACGGAUAAAAGGUACUCCGGGGAUAACAGGCUGAUACCGCCCAAGAGUUCAUAUCGACGGCGGUGUUUGGCACCUCGAUGUCGGCUCAUCACAUCCUGGGGCUGGAGCUGGUCCCAAGGGUAUGGCUGUUCGCCAUUUAAAGUGGUACGCGAGCUGGGUUCAGAACGUCGUGAGACAGUUCGGUCCCUAUCUGCCGUGGGCGUUGGAAAAUUGAGGAAAGCUGCUCCUAGUACGAGAGGACCGGAGUGGACGAACCCCUGGUGUUUGGGUUGUCAUGCCAAUGGCAUUGCCCAGUAGCUACGUUCGGACGGGAUAACCGCUGAAAGCAUCUAAGCGGGAAGCCUCUUCCAAGAUUAAUUUUCCCUGGGAGUUUAACUCCCCUGAAGGGCCGUUCAAGACUAGGACGUUGAUAGGUUGGGUGUGGAAGCGCUGCGAGGCGUUGAGCUAACCAAUACUAAUUGCCCGUGAGGCUUGACCAU
This 986-nucleotide ribosomal RNA is filed under the name seawater metagenome. RNAcentral describes it as "bacterial LSU rRNA". It matches the Rfam family "Bacterial large subunit ribosomal RNA", at positions 1945 to 2925 of the family's 2925-position model. The record is from RNAcentral.